AUGGAGAGUUUGAUCCUGGCUCAGGACGAACGCUGGCGGCGUGCUUAACACAUGCAAGUCGAACGAGAAGAGAU
Molecule: ribosomal RNA, 74 nt
Filed under: Megasphaera sp. NM10
Lineage: Bacteria; Bacillati; Bacillota; Negativicutes; Veillonellales; Veillonellaceae
Description: partial 16S ribosomal RNA
Rfam family: Bacterial small subunit ribosomal RNA
Source: RNAcentral